AUCGCUUCUCGGCCCUAUGGCUAAGAUCAAAGUGUAGUAUCUGUUCUUAUCAGCUUGAUAUCUGAUACGCUCUUCAUUGAAGAGCCAGAAUAUCGAACUGAUUUUUGGAAAUCGGCGGAAUGUCUGGGGCUUGCUCCGAUUCUGCCACGGGUUGUCUCUGCAUUGCAGUACCGCAGUGAACGGCCCACUUAAU
This is a small nuclear RNA of Leptopilina boulardi, 193 nucleotides long. RefSeq annotates it as U2 spliceosomal RNA. The record is from RefSeq and is a predicted model, not a curated record. The transcript has a single exon. Lineage: Eukaryota; Metazoa; Arthropoda; Insecta; Hymenoptera; Figitidae.